Molecule: long non-coding RNA, 500 nt
Filed under: Drosophila guanche
Lineage: Eukaryota; Metazoa; Arthropoda; Insecta; Diptera; Drosophilidae
Source: RNAcentral
CCCAUGUGGAAAUCCUUUUUUGUGGCCUCAAACAGGUGUCGUCGUUUACUUGUUUUACUCACUCGCCCCGUAAAAGUACUCAACAAAACCGAAAAAAGUCGCCCAUUGCCAUCUAAUUCAACAUUUGGCCAAAAUGGUAAUGUGCGCGCCUCCAUGCCGACAUUAUUAUUAAUGAAUGAGCACCAGGUGUAGAAGGGAACAAAAACACAAUGGAGAGCGCGCAAUAUUAUAUACAAAGUUCGUAGUUCGAUUUUCGAUAAAAGAAAAGCGUUUGUGUUUGUGCGCUUAUCGCAUAAUUCUAGGAGCGGUGGAGGUAAAGAACUUCCAUAUUAAUGGUUCAUUAUGGUGACCCGCUGUAAUACAGGCCACGGAUCUGUAUGGGGUCUCAGCUCUGGUCAUGUGUGCUGCAACUUCAGUUUCAGUGGCAGCUCCAGCUCCAGUUUUCGGGUGCUUUGUUUUCAGCCGCUCUACCUAUGGCUCUGGCUCUGGCUCUGGCUCUG